UGCCAGUGUUGUAAAUGGACACGACUCUUGUUUUAAAAAGCACAACCCACCCCAUGGCUGCGGAACCCACUCUGUGCGAAUUUCCCUGAAGGGAAUCUGUCCUUCCAAACCAGGAAAGCACUCCCCACAUGCAGGUGUUUGCAGCAAUGUUAUUUACAGCAUCCACAAUUAGGAGACAAUGUCAGCGUUCCAGAGUGGGGCUACAGUUCAAUUCAGUCAGGCCACCUCCCAUUAUGAACCAUGUUAAAUCAUCAAAUAUAAUGUUGAAGACCAGUGUGGAACAGAACUUAGCAAUACAUAGACAGCUGGAUCUAGGGAGGGCCUCGGGUGCCCUGCUUAGGAAUUUUGACCUUUGAUGUCCAAAAUCCUGCUAGAUGGGACACUCCCAAAGGGCAGCGUGGCUGGGCCUGCAGCUCCUGGCACCUAGCAUGCUGAUGGGGUGUGCUGGCUGCUGGGGGGACCCAGUGGAUUGGCAGACAUGACCCUGAAGGCCAGGACUCCCGGCAGGCGGCAGGUCCAGGCAGUCAAGGUGGGAGAUGUGCACCUGGGCAGUGACCAGGCCCGUGGGAAGCCUGAGAUUUUCACCGAUGCCACUUGGCAGUCCUUCUCUUGGGCUUUAUUAAUUAACAUGCUGUUGGCCACACUGCUUUUUUCAUUGCCUAGGAGUUCAGGAAGAAAUGCGCUCCCUGGGGCACAUGUGGUCAGGGUGGGGCUGUCGAAAGCUGGUGUUUACAAAUCAGGCUGCCCAUAUUGUCCCACUGUGCUCACGGCUACCAGGCUUGCUCUGCUCCACGGACCAGGCUGCAAGGGUGAUCAACACAGGCUACACGCCCCCCCACUUAGCCCCUCAGCCCCUUGCCCAUUGGCUGGUGGAAGCCCCUGGCCCUCUGCUGCCUGAGUCACUGUCACUGCAGUGUAAU
RNAcentral lists this long non-coding RNA (920 nucleotides) under Pan troglodytes (chimpanzee). RNAcentral's name for it is "long non-coding RNA NONPTRT012392". Lineage: Eukaryota; Metazoa; Chordata; Mammalia; Primates; Hominidae. The record is from RNAcentral.